CUUCUUGAAUUUAUUUGAAGUCGUACCUGCCCACUGAUGAGAUUAAAGGGCCGCGGUAUCUUGACCGUGCAAAGGUAGCAUAAUCAUUAGUCUUUUAAUUGGGGACUGGAAUGAAUGGUUUGACGAGACAUUAUCUGUCUCUCUAAUAUAUUUUGAAUUUUACUUUUAAGUUAAAAGGCUUAAGUGUUAAUUGGGGACGAGAAGACCCUAUAGAUCUUUAUUUCUUAUUAAGAAAAUUUGUUUUUAGUAGUUUUGAAUUUUUUAAGAUGGAGAAAUUUGGUUGGGGUGACAUGAGAAUAGAAAAACUUCUUAUUUAUGAUACUUGAAUGUGAGAAUUUGAGAUCCUAUAAUAUGGAUUUAAGAUUAAGAUACCUUAGGGAUAACAGCGUUAUUUUAUUUGAGAGUUCUUAUCGACAAUAAAGAUUGCGACCUCGAUGUUGGAUUAAGAUAAUAAAUUGGUGUAGAAGUUAAUUGUGUUAGUCUGUUC
Molecule: ribosomal RNA, 487 nt
Filed under: Leptopedetes idalimos
Lineage: Eukaryota; Metazoa; Arthropoda; Insecta; Orthoptera; Phalangopsidae
Description: partial 16S ribosomal RNA
Rfam family: Bacterial large subunit ribosomal RNA
Source: RNAcentral